Molecule: non-coding RNA, 28 nt
Filed under: Mus musculus (house mouse)
Lineage: Eukaryota; Metazoa; Chordata; Mammalia; Rodentia; Muridae
Source: RNAcentral
UCNCAUAACUCCGGCCUACUUCCUACUC